Molecule: transfer RNA, 73 nt
Filed under: Aeolesthes oenochrous
Lineage: Eukaryota; Metazoa; Arthropoda; Insecta; Coleoptera; Cerambycidae
Description: tRNA-Lys
Source: RNAcentral
UCAUUAGAUGGCUGAAAGCAAGCAAUGGAAUUUUAAACCAUCCUAUAGUAACCUAGCAACUACUUCUAAUGAU